This 1493-nucleotide long non-coding RNA is filed under the name Vombatus ursinus (common wombat). RNAcentral describes it as "lncRNA (ENSVURG00010004001.1)". The record is from RNAcentral. Lineage: Eukaryota; Metazoa; Chordata; Mammalia; Diprotodontia; Vombatidae.
GUCAAAUUUUCAAUGUGAGCUAUUACCCUUCAGAAAUUGGCAAAUGCUACAAAUCAGGGCUUGGUUUAUUGUUUUGUUGAUUGUUUAGACUUAAGAAAGUGAGGGAGAAAAUGUAUGUAAUGCUGAUUAAAUGUAAAACUGGGUCUUUUUUUUGGAGAGCUGGUUGUUAAACUUUACUAGCACACCACUGCCCUUUCUCUACAUUCUGCAGCCUUCUGGCACUGUUAUCGACCUACUGAUAUAACCUAAGGGCAUCUGGGCCUUGCUACCCACCCCACCCCUGCACCCUGAGGACUUCUGGGUCUUUCUAUCUGUUUUGCAUCUGACCUUUCUUGCACAGGUUCUAGCCCCUAAUUAGAGUGUGAGCUGCUUAAGAGCUGAGACUUCCUUCUUUUUUUUUAAAUUUUUAUCCCUAGUACUGAGCACAGUGCUUGGCAUAUAGUAAGUGAUUAAUAAGCGCUUUUCAUUCAUUCAGGCAUGCAUCUCUCAUUUGUCUUUCUGGCCACCCACCAUUUUUAUUUUUUAAUUUUUUUUUGCAGAUUGUGGGGGUUUGAGUCACAUCACUGGAAAUCUAUUGGUGCUAAAAAAGAUGGAUUUUAUGUCAGAUAGCCAACCAAAAACUUUAAAUACAAGGCAGUAUGAGUUGUUAUGGGGAAGAUGCCUUGUAAACCUUAAUGCAUUAUAUAAUUGGGAACUACUGUCGUCACCAUAUUUUACUAAGUGGAAAGCAGAGCUCAGUUGAAUCUGGCCCUGCACCAGCUCUAGGCCAUAUGUGGAAUGUGGGGAAAAAAAAGACUGUUUGUAUAUCUCCCCCAACCCUCAAACUGGAAUGGAAUGUUACCGAAGUUGGUUCACAUGCUUUCCUUUGGGGAGUGGGAGGCUGUAAGUGAUUAAGGUUGCUGUAAUCCAGGGGUCUGAGCGUCUUGGCUUCAUAGAAUCUCAGAGUUGGGAGGGAUAUUAAAAGUCAACCAUUAUAUUAACUCAUAUUUCCAUAGCAUUAUAGAACAUACAAAGAGCUUUCCUUGAGACAGUUAUCAAGGCCAAACUCUAAUGGUACCCGAAUUCUCUCUAUGAUAGUCAGUCUUUGCUGGAAGACCUCCAAGGACGGGAAGGUCAGUAAUUCCUUACUAGCUGUGUGACUUUGGGGAAAUUACCUUAUCUCUCUGAGUGUCUGUUCUGUCAUCUUUCAAAUGGUGAUGAUAAUACUAACACAACCUAUUGUUUUGGUAGGCUUACCUUGGAAGUUUUAAAGGGCUGUGGAAAUGAAUGCCAUUAUCAUUAUUAUCAUCAUCAGUAGCCUCUUCCAUUUCUGGAGUGGUCUGACUGUUGGAAAGUCAAUCUGUGACAGGUGGAAUGACUUUGCCCAGUGAUAAAACCUUGGGUGGAGGAGGAUGGAAGGAAGAAAGGAUACCUAUCAAUCAAUCAGUCAGUAAGCAUUUAUUAAGCACCUAUGUGCCAGGCACUGUGCUAAGCACUGGAGACACAGUACAAAG